AUUGAACGCUGGCGGCAUGCUUUACACAUGCAAGUCGGACGGCAGCACAGAGGAGCUUGCUUCUUGGGUGGCGAGUGGCGAACGGGUGAGUAACGCAUCGGAACGUACCGAGUAAUGGGGGAUAACUGUCCGAAAGGACAGCUAAUACCGCAUACGCCCUGAGGGGGAAAGCGGGGGAUCUUAGGACCUCGCGUUAUUCGAGCGGCCGAUGUCUGAUUAGCUGGUUGGCGGGGUAAAGGCCCACCAAGGCGACGAUCAGUAGCGGGUCUGAGAGGAUGAUCCGCCACACUGGGACUGAGACACGGCCCAGACUCCUACGGGAGGCAGCAGUGGGGAAUUUUGGACAAUGGGCGCAAGCCUGAUCCAGCCAUGCCGCGUGUCUGAAGAAGGCCUUCGGGUUGUAAAGGACUUUUGUCAGGGAAGAAAGGGGCAUGUUAAUACCGUGCUCUGAUGACGGUACCUGAAGAAUAAGCACCGGCUAACUACGUG
RNAcentral lists this ribosomal RNA (489 nucleotides) under uncultured bacterium. RNAcentral describes it as "partial 16S ribosomal RNA". It matches the Rfam family "Bacterial small subunit ribosomal RNA", at positions 30 to 507 of the family's 1533-position model. The record is from RNAcentral.